This 465-nucleotide ribosomal RNA is filed under the name uncultured bacterium. RNAcentral's name for it is "partial 16S ribosomal RNA". It matches the Rfam family "Bacterial small subunit ribosomal RNA", at positions 28 to 507 of the family's 1533-position model. The record is from RNAcentral.
GACGAACGCUGGCGGCGUGCUUAACACAUGCAAGUCGAGCGGAAAGACCCCUUUGGGGGUACUCGAGUGGCGAACGGGUGCGUAACACGUGAGUAACGUGCACUUGACUUCGGGAUAACUUCAGGUAACGGGGGCUAAUACCGGAUAGGGAUCCUUGCUGCAUGGUGGGGGUUGGAAAGCGUCGGCGGGUUUGGAUGUACUCGCGGCUUAUCAGCUUGUUGGUGGGGCAAUGGCUUACCAAGCCGUGGACGCGUAGCCGCCCUGAGUGGGCGACCGGCCACCUUGGGACUGAGAGACGGCCCAGACUCGUACGCGAGGCAGCAGUGCGGAAUCUUGCACAAUCGGCGGAGGCCUGAUGCAGCAAGGCCUCGUGCGGGAUGACGGCCUUCGGGUUGUAAACCGCUUUCAGCAGGGGCGAAGCUUGUGGUGACGGUACCUGCAGAAGAAGCACCGGCUAACUACGUG